AUGAUUGUUAAUAACGGAAAACAUCAAACGACAAUGAAAGUGAGCCUGCUGAUAAAGCACGGUGGCUUCUGUGAAAUCAGAAAACGGAUUCUCUCCAAAGCACAACAGGACAACUUGAGUCAGGAGGAGCUGGCAGAUGCCUCCGGAAUGAAGCCCACGUGUCGUCCGAGUGGGGAUUCGAGGCAGCAGCUGGGAUCCAGGCUGGGGGCCCGAGCAUGUUGGCUGGUGGGUCUGGGCAGCUCUGUUGUCAGUCCUUUGCCCAGCCUGGGCCCAGGUUUGUACGCCCUGAGGUCUUAGAAUUUAGGGGAUCUCUUUAGGGAAAGGAACACAAAACUGUGAAUAAAAACUCAGCAAACAGUGGAUACUUAUUUAUUUAGCAGGGGAUUGUGGGAGAGGAGCCCUGGGCUUUGCA
This 412-nucleotide long non-coding RNA is filed under the name Bos grunniens (domestic yak). RNAcentral describes it as "lncRNA (ENSBGRG00000022256.1)". Lineage: Eukaryota; Metazoa; Chordata; Mammalia; Artiodactyla; Bovidae. The record is from RNAcentral.